UACAGAGACUGCAAGCGUUAUUCGGAUUCACUGGGCGUAAAGGGUGCGCAGGUGGCCGUGUGUGUGAGGCGUGAAAGCCCGGGGCUCAACCCCGGGAGGCGGGUGGAUACUGUCAAGCUCGAGUCCGGAAGAGGCGAGUGGAAUUCCUGGUGUAGCGGUGAAAUGCGCAGAUAUCAGGAGGAACACCAAUGGCGAAGGCAGCUCGCUGGGACGUGACUGACGCUGAGACGCGAAAGCGUGGGGAGCAAACAGG
This 253-nucleotide ribosomal RNA is filed under the name uncultured bacterium. RNAcentral describes it as "partial 16S ribosomal RNA". It matches the Rfam family "Bacterial small subunit ribosomal RNA", at positions 524 to 776 of the family's 1533-position model. The record is from RNAcentral.